RNAcentral lists this ribosomal RNA (484 nucleotides) under Ectecous sp. FGu. Its description in RNAcentral is "partial 16S ribosomal RNA". It matches the Rfam family "Bacterial large subunit ribosomal RNA", at positions 1862 to 2582 of the family's 2925-position model. Lineage: Eukaryota; Metazoa; Arthropoda; Insecta; Orthoptera; Phalangopsidae. The record is from RNAcentral.
CUUCYUGAUUUGUUAGGAAGUCGGSCCYSCCCACUGAGGAAUUGAAGGGCCGCGGUAUUUUGACCGUGCAAAGGUAGCAUAAUCAUUAGUCUUUUAAUUGGGGACUGGAAUGAAUGGUUUGACGAGAUGAUAGCUGUCUCUAAAAUAUAUAUGAACUUUACUUUUGAGUUAAAAGGCUUAAUUAAUAACGGGGGACGAGAAGACCCUAUAGAUCUUUAUUAUUAUUUGAUAUUAUUGAUUUGGUUGGUUGGCUUUGAUUUUAAUUAAAUAAUUGGRUUGGGGUGAUAGAAGAAUAAGAAGAACUUCUUUUUAAGAAGAUUUAGAUUUAAAGAUUUGUGAUCCUUUAUUAUGGAUGUAAGAUUAAGAUACCUUAGGGAUAACAGCGUUAUUUUGUUUGAGAGUUCUUAUUGACAAUGAAGAUUGCGACCUCGAUGUUGGAUUAAGAUUGCAUGCUGGUGUAGAUGUUAGUGGUGUUAGUCUGKUC